UGGCAUAAAGUCAGAGAUUUUAUGAUGC
This 28-nucleotide non-coding RNA is filed under the name Rattus norvegicus (Norway rat). Lineage: Eukaryota; Metazoa; Chordata; Mammalia; Rodentia; Muridae. The record is from RNAcentral.